Long non-coding RNA from Symphalangus syndactylus (siamang), 177 nucleotides. RefSeq lists it as uncharacterized. The record is from RefSeq and is a predicted model, not a curated record. Lineage: Eukaryota; Metazoa; Chordata; Mammalia; Primates; Hylobatidae.
AUAAGACAACCAAAGUCCUCGUGAAAUAAAAUAAUUUGCCUGAAAUCAUACAGCUGGUUUUUUGUCAUAUUUAUUUUACCCAUAAGGAUCACCUCCAAUCAUCAGUGUCAGAAUAAAUGCAAUAAAAAUGGUGAAGAAUAGGGGUGUAUGUGACCAUCUUAAUGCAGAUAAAGACAA